RNAcentral lists this ribosomal RNA (257 nucleotides) under uncultured bacterium. Its description in RNAcentral is "partial 16S ribosomal RNA". It matches the Rfam family "Bacterial small subunit ribosomal RNA", at positions 524 to 776 of the family's 1533-position model. The record is from RNAcentral.
UACGGGGGGGGGUAAGCGUUGUUCGGAAUUACUGGGCGUAAAGGGCUCGUAGGCGGCCAACUAAGUCAGACGUGAAAUCCCUCAGCUUAACUGGGGAACUGCGUCUGAUACUGGAUGGCUUGGAUUCGGGAGAGGAAUGCGGAAUUCCAGGUGUAGCGGUGAAAUGCGUAGAUAUCUGGAGGAACACCGGUGGCGAAGGCGGCAUUCUGGACCGACAUUUGACGCUGAGGAGCGAAAAGCCAGGGGGAGCAAACGGG